This is a long non-coding RNA of Mytilus trossulus (common blue mussel), 171 nucleotides long. RefSeq lists it as uncharacterized. The record is from RefSeq and is a predicted model, not a curated record. The transcript has 3 exons. NCBI's taxonomy places the organism in Eukaryota, Metazoa, Mollusca, Bivalvia, Mytilida, Mytilidae.
CGACAAACUACAAACAAUUCUUUUUGACCAAGAAGACGUUAAUUCAAUGACUUUAAAGGGAUAUAAUGGCAAGUUGGGAUGAGAAACUUCUUACAGCUGCAAGGCAGGGGAAUAUAAAAGAGGUAGAAUUAUGUGUAAAGAACAGAGCUAACUUGGAAUGUAGAGAUUCUG